Molecule: transfer RNA, 74 nt
Filed under: Yersinia phage fHe-Yen9-04
Lineage: Duplodnaviria; Heunggongvirae; Uroviricota; Caudoviricetes
Description: tRNA-Pro-TGG
Rfam family: tRNA
About the family: Transfer RNA (tRNA) molecules are approximately 80 nucleotides in length. Their secondary structure includes four short double-helical elements and three loops (D, anti-codon, and T loops).
Source: RNAcentral
CUCCGAUUAGCUUAGUCUGGUUAAAGUGUUCCGUUUGGGGCGGAAAAACGAACGUUCGAAUCGUUCAUUGGAGA